RNAcentral lists this ribosomal RNA (253 nucleotides) under uncultured bacterium. RNAcentral describes it as "partial 16S ribosomal RNA". It matches the Rfam family "Bacterial small subunit ribosomal RNA", at positions 524 to 776 of the family's 1533-position model. The record is from RNAcentral.
UACGUAGGGGGCAAGCGUUGUCCGGAUUUAUUGGGCGUAAAGAGCGUGUAGGCGGCCAGACAGGUCCGUUGUGAAAACUCGAGGCUCAACCUCGAGAUGUCGAUGGAAACCGUCUGGCUAGAGUCCGGAAGAGGAGUGUGGAAUUCCUGGUGUAGCGGUGAAAUGCGUAGAGAUCAGGAAGAACACCGGUGGCGAAAGCGCUCUGCUAGGCCGCAACUGACACUGAGGGACGAAAGCUAGGGGAGCGAAUGGG